RNAcentral lists this ribosomal RNA (305 nucleotides) under uncultured bacterium. RNAcentral's name for it is "bacterial SSU rRNA". It matches the Rfam family "Bacterial small subunit ribosomal RNA", at positions 338 to 640 of the family's 1533-position model. The record is from RNAcentral.
CCUACGGGACGCAGCAGUGAGGAAUAUUGGUCAAUGGGCGGAAGCCUGAACCAGCCAAGUCGCGUGAGGGAAUAAGGCCCUACGGGUCGUAAACCUCUUUUGCCGGGGAGCAAGGGCCGGGACGCGUCCCGGCCCGGAGAGUACCCGGAGAAAAAGCAUCGGCUAACUCCGUGCCAGCAGCCGCGGUAAUACGGAGGAUGCGAGGGUUAUUCGGAUUUAUUGGGUUUAAAGGGGGCGUAGGCGGGCUUUUAAGUCAGCGGGAAAAAUUCGGGGCUCAACCCCGUCCGGCCCUUGAAACCGGGGGC